CAGUCGCCGCGGGAAUACAGAGGGUGCAAGCGUUAAUCGGAAUUACUGGGCGUAAAGCGCGCGUAGGUGGUUUGUUAAGUUGGAUGUGAAAGCCCCGGGCUCAACCUGGGAACUGCAUCCAAAACUGGCAAGCUAGAGUACGGUAGAGGGUGGUGGAAUUUCCUGUGUAGCGGUGAAAUGCGUAGAUAUAGGAAGGAACACCAGUGGCGAAGGCGACCACCUGGACUGAUACUGACACUGAGGUGCGAAAGCGUGGGGAGCAAACAGGAUUAGAUACCCCUGUAGUCCCUGUCUCUUAUAA
RNAcentral lists this ribosomal RNA (301 nucleotides) under uncultured bacterium. RNAcentral describes it as "partial 16S ribosomal RNA". It matches the Rfam family "Bacterial small subunit ribosomal RNA", at positions 509 to 809 of the family's 1533-position model. The record is from RNAcentral.